GAUGAACGCUGGCGGCGUGCCUAAUACAUGCAAGUCGAGCGAACAGACGAGGAGCUUGCUCCUCUGACGUUAGCGGCGGACGGGUGAGUAACACGUGGAUAACCUACCUAUAAGACUGGGAUAACUUCGGGAAACCGGAGCUAAUACCGGAUAAUAUAUUGAACCGCAUGGUUCAAUAGUGAAAGACGGUUUUGCUGUCACUUAUAGAUGGAUCCGCGCCGCAUUAGCUAGUUGGUAAGGUAACGGCUUACCAAGGCAACGAUGCGUAGCCGACCUGGGAGGGUGAUCGGCCACACUGGAACUGAGACACGGUCCAGACUCCUACGGGAGGCAGCAGUAGGGAAUCUUCCGCAAUGGGCGAAAGCCUGACGGAGCAACGCCGCGUGAGUGAUGAAGGUCUUCGGAUCGUAAAACUCUGUUAUUAGGGAAGAACAAAUGUGUAAGUAACUAUGCACGUCUUAACGGUACCUAAUCAGAAAGCCACGGCUAACUACGUG
RNAcentral lists this ribosomal RNA (497 nucleotides) under uncultured bacterium. RNAcentral's name for it is "partial 16S ribosomal RNA". It matches the Rfam family "Bacterial small subunit ribosomal RNA", at positions 28 to 507 of the family's 1533-position model. The record is from RNAcentral.